This 501-nucleotide ribosomal RNA is filed under the name uncultured bacterium. RNAcentral's name for it is "partial 16S ribosomal RNA". It matches the Rfam family "Bacterial small subunit ribosomal RNA", at positions 30 to 523 of the family's 1533-position model. The record is from RNAcentral.
AUUGAACGCAGGCGGCAGGCUUAACACAUGCAAGUCGAGCGGAGAGAGGUAGCUUGCUACUGAUCUUAGCGGCGGACGGGUGAGUAAUGCUUAGGAAUCUGCCUAUUAGUGGGGGACAACAUUUCGAAAGGAAUGCUAAUACCGCAUACGUCCUACGGGAGAAAGCAGGGGACCUUCGGACCUUGCGCUAAUAGAUGAGCCUAAGUCGGAUUAGCUAGUUGGUGGGGUAAAGGCCUACCAAGGCGACGAUCUGUAGCGGGUCUGAGAGGAUGAUCCGCCACACUGGAACUGAGACACGGCCCAGACUCCUACGGGAGGCAGCAGUGGGGAAUAUUGGACAAUGGGGGGAACCCUGAUCCAGCCAUGCCGCGUGUGUGAAGAAGGCCUUAUGGUUGUAAAGCACUUUAAGCGAGGAGGAGGCUCUUUUGGUUAAUACCCAAGAUGAGUGGACGUUACUCGCAGAAUAAGCACCGGCUAACUCUGUGCCAGCCGCCGCCGUAA